Non-coding RNA from Aedes aegypti (yellow fever mosquito), 46 nucleotides. Lineage: Eukaryota; Metazoa; Arthropoda; Insecta; Diptera; Culicidae. The record is from Rfam.
CAAAUGGUCCUUUUCAGGACCACCAAAAUGAGUCAAUUUCUUCAUC